RNAcentral lists this unclassified non-coding RNA (194 nucleotides) under soil metagenome. Its description in RNAcentral is "partial contains 5.8S ribosomal RNA, internal transcribed spacer 2, and large subunit ribosomal RNA". The record is from RNAcentral.
AACGCACGAGACCUGCGGACCUGCGGAGGGAUCAUUACCGAGUUAUCCAACUCCCAACCCCUGUGAAUCAUACCUUUAAUUGUUGCUUCGGCGGGACUUCGCGCCCGCCGGGGACCCAAACCUUCUGAAUUUUUUAAUAAGUAUCUUCUGAGUGGUUAAAAAAAAUGAAUCAAAACUUUUAGCAAUGGAUCUCU